AUUCUGCCCAUGCGGGGAAGGAUGAGAAGCUUCGACCAAGGUUCGACUCAAGUGCCAGCGAGAGAGCGUUGCCGCAGGCAACGACCCGUAGGGCGAAGCGCGCAGCGCUGAGUAAUCCUUCCCCCACCACCA
RNAcentral lists this small RNA (132 nucleotides) under Escherichia coli. Its description in RNAcentral is "RtT sRNA". It matches the Rfam family "RtT RNA". Rfam says of the family: This family represents a bacterial cis-regulatory element known as RtT RNA. The exact function of RtT is unknown although it is thought that it may be involved in changing the cellular response in relation to amino acid starvation. Lineage: Bacteria; Pseudomonadati; Pseudomonadota; Gammaproteobacteria; Enterobacterales; Enterobacteriaceae. The record is from RNAcentral.